ACGGAGACGGGGUCCAUUAUAUGGUUUCCGUGCGAUCUCUGAUAGUUUCAAUUAGAUGAACUAUAAGUGCUGGCUGGCGUUCUAUGUUGCCAAGACGUCUAUCAUUCCUUUCUUUCCAUACAUGAUCUAUGGUUGUUUGGAAGGUUACCCAAACAUGUAUAUAGGUUCACUGACCAAAGCGCUGGGCUGAGACCAGUGCCGGCUUUGGACAUGUGCAGAAGGUGCUGUAGCAAUACAAUAGAACUCGAUUAUGAAAUUUGCGGGGAUUUUCUCUUUAAUAUCUAGUGGUCUUGGCCCAAGCCC
Molecule: long non-coding RNA, 303 nt
Organism: Arabidopsis thaliana (thale cress)
Lineage: Eukaryota; Viridiplantae; Streptophyta; Magnoliopsida; Brassicales; Brassicaceae
Product: other RNA
Exons: 1
Source: RefSeq